CAAGUUGUUAUGACAGACUAAUCUGUAGCAAGGCCCAAGGAUAAUGCAAGGCUGAAGCGUUAUAUGUUUAACACUGAUAAUGUGCAAUUGCGAACAGUAGUUGUUACAGAUCCCCAAGCUGUGAGAUACGGAAGUUUCUUUUUUGUGUAUUUACUGAUAAAUACUUGCCAGAGUGUUUUAUUGGGCUGUCUCCCCAUACUGCCCUGAAGCCUAAGUCGUGAUGACUGACUGACUGACUAACGUGUAGCAAAGCCCAAGGUCUAAGACAGGCUGGAAGGAUGUGUGUUUUAACGUUGAUGAUGUGCAAUUGCCAACAGAAGAAAUUGCUAACAGUACAAAUUAGAGAUCCCCCAGUGUGUUCACUUAAAUUAUGAAUAAUUUAAAAGUACAUAAAACAUGAAUCAUACAACUUGCUGAAAUACUAAGAAGAACUUCCAGAAUUUCUGUAGAAUGGGU
Molecule: long non-coding RNA, 456 nt
Organism: Schistocerca piceifrons (Central American locust)
Lineage: Eukaryota; Metazoa; Arthropoda; Insecta; Orthoptera; Acrididae
Exons: 3
Source: RefSeq, a predicted model, not a curated record